RNAcentral lists this ribosomal RNA (194 nucleotides) under uncultured bacterium. RNAcentral's name for it is "partial 16S ribosomal RNA". It matches the Rfam family "Bacterial small subunit ribosomal RNA", at positions 338 to 524 of the family's 1533-position model. The record is from RNAcentral.
CCUAGGGGAGGCAGCAGUGGGGAAUUUUGGACAAUGGGGGCAACCCUGAUCCAGCCAUUCCGCGUGAGUGAAGAAGGCCUUCGGGUUGUAAAGCUCUUUCGCAAGAGAAGAAAUCUUACUAUCAAAUAAAUAGUAAGGAUGACGGUAUCUUGACAAGAAGCACCGGCUAACUAUGUGCCAGCAGCCGCGGUAAU